Symphalangus syndactylus (siamang) is the source of this 3142-nucleotide long non-coding RNA. RefSeq lists it as uncharacterized. Lineage: Eukaryota; Metazoa; Chordata; Mammalia; Primates; Hylobatidae. The record is from RefSeq and is a predicted model, not a curated record.
CUGGAUACAAGGGCUUUAUCAGAUAUAUGAUUUGCAAAUAUUUUCUUUUAGUUUGUGGCUUGUCCUUUAAUUUUCUUAAUGAUAUCCUUUGAAGCACAAAAUUUUUGAUUUUGAUGAAUUCCAAUUUAUCAUUUUUAAAAGUGAUCCUGCUUUUGGUACUAUCUAAGAGCUCUUUGCUUAACCCAAGGUCAUGCAGGUUUUUAUCUAGAAGUUUCAUAGUUUUAGGUUUUACAUUUAUAUCUACUGUGAUCCAUUUUGAGUUAAUUUUUAUGUAUACUGUGAAGUGAGGGUCUAAGUUUUCUUUGUUACAUAUAGAUAAUCCGAUUGUGUCAGUACCAUUGGCUGAAAAGACUGUCUUUCCCUAUUGAAUUGUUUUGGCAAAUUUAUUGAUAAUCAAUUGAUCAUAAAUUUAAUGCUUAUUUCUAGCAUGUGAAUUAUGUUCUCUUGUUCUUAUCCUUAUAGCAAUACCACUCUGUAGCUUUAUAGUAAGUUUUGAGUUCAGGUAGUAUAAACCAUCCAGCUUUGUUCUUUUCUUUCAAAAUUAUUUUACCUAUGCUAGGUCCCUUGUAUUUUCAUAUGAAUUUUAGGAUUAUUUGAUCCUUGUUGGUGCUGCUCACCAUGCCCAUUGCACCAUGUGCAGGCCAUAGUAGGAACUAUCUACAUCUGAAAAAAACUUUUCCGUGGAACUGGGGUUUUUAUUCUCCAGAUUUUCAAAUAACUUAUCUAGCAAUUUUUGAAAACUUCCUCUAUUUGCUUGAGGGCUAUCCAUUUCUUAGAUGCUGCUCUGUGGGUUCCUCGAUUACUGUGCUGAGGUGACCAGGGAAAGUUCAGAAACUAGGCCCUGUUUCCCCAAGCUGUCUCCCAAGCUGGGAACAAGGUACAUCCCCUCCUGCUCCCAGCUAGUGGCUCAGGGAGCUCUUCCCACUUAGUGGCUCAGGAUCUCUGUGGAGAGCAGGUGGUCUAGAAGCACUUGCCCCUCACCCUGGGGCACCGCCAUCCACCAUUUUCCAUCCUGGGUCGUCUCUCUUGAAUCUGCAGGACAGUGUUGGUUAUGAGGACCCAGUGGCAGAGGUUGGGCUGGACCAGCAUGUGGCAGAGCUGUAGCUUAACUAGGGACGUGUCCAGAAGUGACUGUCGUUGCAGAUUAUAGGAAGGGACAGUCUCAAAGCUGAUCAGGGCUCCUUCCAUGUCUUCCUUGUAGUCCACGCAUUUCCUCUUUAAUCCUUGAGCAAACAUUGUGUCGUGUGUCAUGACGGUUGCCUGCCCAGCCCAGUCCACUGUCAUCGUCCCACUCACCACCACUGAGUAGGGUGUGACAUCUGGCCAGCACAGGGUGGGGAAGAGCUAUUCAGAUUUUGUAUUUCUUGUUAAGCCUGUUUUGGAAAUUUAUGUUUUUUUCUAGGAAUUUGUCUAUUUUGUCCACGUUAUCUAAUAUGUUGACAUAAAAUUGUUCAUAGUAGUCCCUUAAAAUCCUUUCAAUUUUUUUAGUGUCAGUAGUGAUGUCCUCUCUUUCAUUCCUAAUUUUGGUAACCUAUCUUCUUUUUUUGUUUUGUUUAGUUAGUGUACUUAAAGAUUUGUCAAUUUUGUUAAUCUGUUUAAAAUACAUACUUUUAUCUUGAUUUUCUUUAUUGUUGUCAUUUUCCAUUUCCUUUAUUUGUACUAUAGUUUCUAACUUCCUCCCUAUUUCUUUUUUUCUACUUGCUUUGAGUUUACUUUUUGAGAUGGAAGCUUAAGUUACUGGGUUGAAACCAUUAUUUUUUCUAAUAUAGAUUUUUAAAGCUAUAAAUUGCCCCCCCUUUACUACUUUAGCUGUACCACGUAAAUUUUGGUAUGCUUUGUUCCUUUUUAUUCAAUUAAAACUAUCUUAAUUUCCCAUUUGAUCUGUUGUUUGAUCAUGGAUUGUUUAGAAGUAUGUUGUCUAAUUUCCGAAUGUGGAGAUUUCUCAAAUUUGUUUCUGCUGUUGAUUUCUAAUUUAAUUUCAUUGUGGCUGGAAAACACACUUUGUAUGAGUUCAGUUAUUUUAAUUUGUUAGGAUUUAUUUUAUGGAUUAGCAUAUGAUGUAUCUUGAACAAUUUUUCAUAUGUGCUUGGGAAGAACAUGUAUUCUGAUAGUAAUAGGUUACAGUAUUCUAUAAAUGUCAGUUAGGGCAGUUGGUUGAUGUGUUUGUUGAAGUCUUUUAUAUCCUCACUGCUUUUCUGUUUAGAUUUUCUGUCAAUUAUUGAGAAUGGGGUAUUGAAAUCUUUAAAUAUUGUUGAAUUGUUAUUUCUUCUUUUAAUUCUUUCAGGUUUUGCUUUAUGUAUUUUAGAGUGCUGUUGUUAGCCUUGCAGUCUCAUCCUACUCAAGUGUGGCUCUGUAUCCAACAACAGUCUUGGAGAUCUCGUGAAGAUUCCUGAAACUUUUGCUCUGCAGGAUACAUUCCUUUGUGGUUAUGUGCCCUGAAAACUCCAGCCUCCGCCUCUUCACUUAAGUGAAACCACUACUAUGCUUGGAUUCCCCUCUUACGCAAUGGUCUACCAAGUGACUGCAAACAGAAAUCUAAGGGAAUUUCAGGAGUCACCUCAUUUAUUUUCCUUUUUUCAGCGAUUGUAGUAGUACUGUACCACCUGUCAGACAAUGUGUGAGAAUGGUUGUUUCAUACAUUUUGUCCAAUUCUUUCAUUGUUACAGGAGCUUCCAUUACUUUUCAAACAGUAAUGCAGUUGCAAUUGCCUCUCCUUUUCUUCACUAUGUGUUUAUCUCUGGCAGUUUGAGCCAAGAGAGGGCAUGGAGAAGUACAGUGACUAGAGAGCACUUCUGUUGAGGCUCAUUCAUUGACCCCUACCCCAGUGCUUUGUGAAUGUGUGCUGCAGAUGUCAUACAGCAUCACAGCUUCUUCUCUAAUUUAUGAGCCAGAAAUUUUUUUUUUGUAUUUUCAUUGUAUUACCUGCUUGGUUGCAAGAGGAUGAUGAGGAGGACUGCUAUAGGAUAAAUUUGUUUUUAUAGAGCAAUUUCUCGUGGGUCACGAGGGAUAGUACCCCGUUUUCCUCAUUGAUGUUGGCUUGAUCAUCUGAGUCAGUGGGGUCAUUGUGGAAACAUAUGGAAUCCUUUAUGCUUUUUCUCAGGCUGCUUCUGUUGCAUGAAAUAAAGCCAGAGUUGAUUGUGAA